AACGGCCAUAUCAUGGUGAAUAUACCGGUUCUCGUUAGAUUACCGAAGUCAAGUGGGCGCGGUCAGUACUUGGGUGGGUGACCACCUGGGAACACCGCGUGACGUU
Non-coding RNA from Caerostris extrusa, 106 nucleotides. NCBI's taxonomy places the organism in Eukaryota, Metazoa, Arthropoda, Arachnida, Araneae, Araneidae. The record is from the annotation of a GenBank genome assembly.